GCGACCCCAGGUCAGGCGGGACUACCCGCUGAAUUUAAGCAUAUAAAUAAGCGGAGGAGAAGAAACUUACAA
Molecule: ribosomal RNA, 72 nt
Filed under: Parapholis incurva
Lineage: Eukaryota; Viridiplantae; Streptophyta; Magnoliopsida; Poales; Poaceae
Description: partial 26S ribosomal RNA
Rfam family: Eukaryotic large subunit ribosomal RNA
Source: RNAcentral